ACUCUAAGCGGUGGAUCACUCGGCUCAUGGGUCGAUGAAGAACGCAGCAAACUGUGCGUCAUCGUGUGAACUGCAGGACACAUGAACAUCGACAUUUUGAACGCAUAUCGCAGUCCAUGCUGUUAUGUACUUUAAUUAAUUUUAUAGUGCUGCUUGGACUACAUAUGGUUGAGGGUUGUAAGACUAUGCUAAUUAAGUUGCUUAUAAAUUUUUAUAAGCAUAUGGUAUAUUAUUGGAUAAAUAUAAUAAUUUUUAUUCAUAAUAUUAAAAAAUAAAUGAAAAACAUUAUCUCACAUUUGAAUGUGAAAAACGAAGAGAAAUAUUUUCUUUUUCAAUCAAAUAAUACUGAGAAAUGUCUAGCAUAAAAAAUUGAAAUAUUUUUCAUCUAGAAUUGUCUCUUAUUAAUGAUUCGGAAAUAGAAAAAUCUUGGUUAUGUUAUUAUUCUUCGUUGGUUCGUUAAAAAUGGAUAAAUAAAAACUUUGCAUACAAGAAUUAAUAAAAAUGUUAUAACGAAUUUAAUUAAAUGUUUUAUCAUUAUAUAUAAAGAAUUUAUGGCAAGAUAAAGUUAUAUACAACCUCAACUCAUAUGGGACUACCCCCUGAAUUUAAGCAUAUUAAUUAGGGGAGGAAAAGAAACUAACAAGGAUUUUCUUAGUAGCGGCGAGCGAAAAGAAAACAGUUCAGCACUAAGUCACUUUGUCUAUAUGGCAAAUGUGAGAUGCAGUGUAUGGAGCGUCAAUAUUCUAGUAUGAGAAAUUAACGAUUUAAGUCCUUCUUAAAUGAGGCCAUUUACCCAUAGAGGGUGCCAGGCCCGUAUAACGUUAAUGAUUACUAGAUGAUGUUUCCAAAGAGUCGUGUUGCUUGAUAGUGCAGCACUAAGUGGGUGGUAAACUCCAUCUAAAACUAAAUAUAACCAUGAGACCGAUAGUAAACAAGUACCGUGAGGGAAAGUUGAAAAGAACUCUGAAUAGAGAGUUAAACAGUACGUGAAACUGCUUAGAGGUUAAGCCCGAUGAACCUGAAUAUCCGUUAUGGAAAAUUCAUCAUUAAAAUUGUAAUAUUUAAAUAAUAUUAUGAGAAUAGUGUGCAUUUUUUCCAUAUAAGGACAUUGUAAUCUAUUAGCAUAUACCAAAUUUAUCAUAAAAUAUAACUUAUAGUUUAUUCCAAUUAAAUUGCUUGCAUUUUAACACAGAAUAAAUGUUAUUAAUUUGAUAAAGUGCUGAUAGAUUUAUAUGAUUACAGUGCGUUAAUUUUUCGGAAUUAUAUAAUGGCAUAAUUAUCAUUGAUUUUUGUGUUUAUUAUAUGCACUUGUAUGAUUAACAAUGCGAAAGAUUCAGGAUACCUUCGGGACCCGUCUUGAAACACGGACCAAGGAGUCUAACAUAUGUGCAAGUUAUUGGGAUAUAAACCUAAUAGCGUAAUUAACUUGACUAAUAAUGGGAUUAGUUUUUUAGCUAUUUAUAGCUAAUUAACACAAUCCCGGGGCGUUCUAUAUAGUUAUGUAUAAUGUAUAUUUAUAUUAUUUAUGCCUCUAACUGGAACGUACCUUGAGCAUAUAUGCUGUGACCCGAAAGAUGGUGAACUAUACUUGAUCAGGUUGAAGUCAGGGGAAACCCUGAUGGAAGACCGAAACAGUUCUGACGUGCAAAUCGAUUGUCAGAAUUGAGUAUAGGGGCGAAAGACCAAUCGAACCAUCUAGUAGCUGGUUCCUUCCGAAGUUUCCCUCAGGAUAGCUGGUGCAUUUUAAUAUUAUAUAAAAUAAUCUUAUCUGGUAAAGCGAAUGAUUAGAGGCCUUAGGGUCGAAACGAUCUUAACCUAUUCUCAAACUUUAAAUGGGUAAGAACCUUAACUUUCUUGAUAUGAAGUUCAAGGUUAUGAUAUAAUGUGCCCAGUGGGCCACUUUUGGUAAGCAGAACUGGCGCUGUGGGAUGAACCAAACGUAAUGUUACGGUGCCCAAAUUAACAACUCAUGCAGAUACCAUGAAAGGCGUUGGUUGCUUAAAACAGCAGAACGGUGAUCAUGGAAGUCGAAAUCCGCUAAGGAGUGUGUAACAACUCACCUGCCGAAGCAACUAGCCCUUAAAAUGGAUGGCGCUUAAGUUGUAUACCUAUACAUUACCGCUAAAGUAGAUGAUUUAUAUUACUUGUGAUAUAAAUUUUGAAACUUUAGUGAGUAGGAAGGUACAUGGUAUGCGUAGAAGUGUUUGGCGUAAGCCUGCAUGGAGCUGCCAUUGGUACAGAUCUUGGUGGUAGUAGCAAAUAAUCGAAUGAGACCUUGGAGGACUGAAGUGGAGAAGGGUUUCGUGUGAACAGUGGUUGAUCACGAGUUAGUCGGUCCUAAGUUCAAGGCGAAAGCCGAAAAUUUUCAAGUAAAACAAAAAUGCCUAACUAUAUAAACAAAGCGAAUUAUAAUACACUUGAAUAAUUUUGAACGAAAGGGAAUACGGUUCCAAUUCCGUAACCUGUUGAGUAUCCGUUUGUUAUUAAAAAUGGGCCUCGUGCUCAUCCUGGCAACAGGAACGACCAUAAAGAAGCCGUCGAGAGAUAUCGGAAGAGUUUUCUUUUCUGUUUUAUAGCCGUACUACCAUGGAAGUCUUUCGCAGAGAGAUAUGGUAGAUGGGCUAGAAGAGCAUGACAUAUACUGUUGUGUCGAUAUUUUCUCCUCGGACCUUGAAAAUUUAUGGUGGGGACACGCAAACUUCUCAACAGGCCGUACCAAUAUCCGCAGCUGGUCUCCAAGGUGAAGAGUCUCUAGUCGAUAGAAUAAUGUAGGUAAGGGAAGUCGGCAAAUUAGAUCCGUAACUUCGGGAUAAGGAUUGGCUCUGAAGAUUGAGAUAGUCGUCGGGCUUGAUUGGGAAACAAUAACAUGGUUUAUGUGCUCGUUCUGGGUAAAUAGAGUUUCUAGCAUUUAUGUUAGUUACUUGUUCCCCGGAUAGUUUAGUUACGUAGCCAAUUGUGGAACUUUCUUGCUAAAAUUUUUAAGAAUACUAUUUGGGUUAAACCAAUUAGUUCUUAUUAAUUAUAACGAUUAUCAAUUAACAAUCAAUUCAGAACUGGCACGGACUUGGGGAAUCCGACUGUCUAAUUAAAACAAAGCAUUGUGAUGGCCCUAGCGGGUGUUGACACAAUGUGAUUUCUGCCCAGUGCUCUGAAUGUCAAAGUGAAGAAAUUCAAGUAAGCGCGGGUCAACGGCGGGAGUAACUAUGACUCUCUUAAGGUAGCCAAAUGCCUCGUCAUCUAAUUAGUGACGCGCAUGAAUGGAUUAACGACGGACGUGUUUUCGUUGCGCUCGUGGACAUAGUGCGAAGAACUUUGUUUUCCGUAUUUGGAAGUAUACGAAUAAAUAAUUUAGUGUUCCGUGGAAGUGGUGCGCAAAUUUUCGCGAAUUAAAAACAAGCGGUUUGGAAGUAAUUGACAAUAAAUUAUUGGAAAUUUUCCACUCCGCACGUGUUGAGCGGCGAGCUUGCGGGUGAGCUUUUCGAACAGCUGAGAGAAGCUUAUUGGUGGUAGUCACCGCUAAGGAUUGUGUCUUGGGACAGCUUAGUGCACUCUACCAAUAGGUGGAGCUAUCACCAUAGCAACUAGCCCGUGUCAGCGAGCAUACGAUUGCUGGACUCGUCAAAAGGAGGAGCCACCAUCGGAGCAACGCCGAUGGAGAGCGACAGCAGUGUGAGUGCCUUGAGCGGAAGCAGUGCCUCAAAGGUGU
Molecule: ribosomal RNA, 3706 nt
Filed under: Drosophila melanogaster (fruit fly)
Lineage: Eukaryota; Metazoa; Arthropoda; Insecta; Diptera; Drosophilidae
Description: eukaryotic LSU rRNA
Rfam family: Eukaryotic large subunit ribosomal RNA (bases 573-3323)
Source: RNAcentral